UCGGAACGUGCCCAGUCGUGGGGGAUAACGCAGCGAAAGCUGUGCUAAUACCGCAUACGAUCUAUGGAUGAAAGCGGGGGACUCGCAAGGGCCUCGCGCGAUUGGAGCGGCCGAUAUCAGAUUAGCUAGUUGGCGGGGUAAAAGCCCACCAAGGCGACGAUCUGUAGCUGGUCUGAGAGGACGACCAGCCACACUGGAACUGAGACACGGUCCAG
This 215-nucleotide ribosomal RNA is filed under the name uncultured bacterium. Its description in RNAcentral is "partial 16S ribosomal RNA". It matches the Rfam family "Bacterial small subunit ribosomal RNA", at positions 118 to 334 of the family's 1533-position model. The record is from RNAcentral.